UGGUCAUUACCAAGGCUUUUAGGAUGCAGUUUUCUGAUGUGCUGCGGACAUGACCAGGAGUCAGGUGCCUGUAGGAGGCGGCUUGACAUGAGCAUUG
RNAcentral lists this small nucleolar RNA (97 nucleotides) under Echinops telfairi (small Madagascar hedgehog). RNAcentral's name for it is "Small nucleolar RNA SNORA32 (ENSETEG00000026009.1)". Lineage: Eukaryota; Metazoa; Chordata; Mammalia; Afrosoricida; Tenrecidae. The record is from RNAcentral.